Molecule: ribosomal RNA, 1251 nt
Filed under: Streptococcus anginosus
Lineage: Bacteria; Bacillati; Bacillota; Bacilli; Lactobacillales; Streptococcaceae
Description: bacterial SSU rRNA
Rfam family: Bacterial small subunit ribosomal RNA
Source: RNAcentral
GAGUUGCGAACGGGUGAGUAACGCGUAGGUAACCUGCCUAUUAGAGGGGGAUAACUAUUGGAAACGAUAGCUAAUACCGCAUAACAGUAUGUAACACAUGUUAGAUGCUUGAAAGAUGCAAUUGCAUCGCUAGUAGAUGGACCUGCGUUGUAUUAGCUAGUAGGUAGGGUAAUGGCCUACCUAGGCGACGAUACAUAGCCGACCUGAGAGGGUGAUCGGCCACACUGGGACUGAGACACGGCCCAGACUCCUACGGGAGGCAGCAGUAGGGAAUCUUCGGCAAUGGGGGGAACCCUGACCGAGCAACGCCGCGUGAGUGAAGAAGGUUUUCGGAUCGUAAAGCUCUGUUGUUAAGGAAGAACGAGUGUGAGAAUGGAAAGUUCAUACUGUGACGGUACUUAACCAGAAAGGGACGGCUAACUACGUGCCAGCAGCCGCGGUAAUACGUAGGUCCCGAGCGUUGUCCGGAUUUAUUGGGCGUAAAGCGAGCGCAGGCGGUUAGAAAAGUCUGAAGUGAAAGGCAGUGGCUCAACCAUUGUAGGCUUUGGAAACUGUUUAACUUGAGUGCAGAAGGGGAGAGUGGAAUUCCAUGUGUAGCGGUGAAAUGCGUAGAUAUAUGGAGGAACACCGGUGGCGAAAGCGGCUCUCUGGUCUGUAACUGACGCUGAGGCUCGAAAGCGUGGGGAGCGAACAGGAUUAGAUACCCUGGUAGUCCACGCCGUAAACGAUGAGUGCUAGGUGUUGGGUCCUUUCCGGGACUCAGUGCCGCAGCUAACGCAUUAAGCACUCCGCCUGGGGAGUACGACCGCAAGGUUGAAACUCAAAGGAAUUGACGGGGGCCCGCACAAGCGGUGGAGCAUGUGGUUUAAUUCGAAGCAACGCGAAGAACCUUACCAGGUCUUGACAUCCCGAUGCUAUUUCUAGAGAUAGGAAGUUUCUUCGGAACAUCGGUGACAGGUGGUGCAUGGUUGUCGUCAGCUCGUGUCGUGAGAUGUUGGGUUAAGUCCCGCAACGAGCGCAACCCUUAUUGUUAGUUGCCAUCAUUAAGUUGGGCACUCUAGCGAGACUGCCGGUAAUAAACCGGAGGAAGGUGGGGAUGACGUCAAAUCAUCAUGCCCCUUAUGACCUGGGCUACACACGUGCUACAAUGGCUGGUACAACGAGUCGCAAGCCGGUGACGGCAAGCUAAUCUCUGAAAGCCAGUCUCAGUUCGGAUUGUAGGCUGCAACUCGCCUACAUGAAGUCGGAAUC